AGGAUCGUAGCUCAAUUGGUAGAGCGUCAGACUGAAGUAAUCUGAAGGUCCCUGGUUCGAUUCCAGGCGAUCCAA
RNAcentral lists this transfer RNA (75 nucleotides) under Pithovirus LCPAC304. RNAcentral describes it as "tRNA-Phe". It matches the Rfam family "tRNA". From Rfam's summary of the family: Transfer RNA (tRNA) molecules are approximately 80 nucleotides in length. Their secondary structure includes four short double-helical elements and three loops (D, anti-codon, and T loops). Lineage: Varidnaviria; Bamfordvirae; Nucleocytoviricota; Megaviricetes; Pimascovirales; Pithoviridae. The record is from RNAcentral.